RNAcentral lists this ribosomal RNA (403 nucleotides) under uncultured Arthrobacter sp. Its description in RNAcentral is "bacterial SSU rRNA". It matches the Rfam family "Bacterial small subunit ribosomal RNA", at positions 382 to 797 of the family's 1533-position model. The record is from RNAcentral. Lineage: Bacteria; Bacillati; Actinomycetota; Actinomycetes; Micrococcales; Micrococcaceae.
CCUGAUGCAGCGACGCCGCGUGAGGGAUGAAGGCCUCGGGUUGUAAACCUCUUUCAGUAGGGAAGAAGCGAAAGUGACGGUACCUGCAGAAGAAGCGCCGGCUAACUACGUGCCAGCAGCCGCGGUAAUACGUAGGGCGCAAGCGUUAUCCGGAAUUAUUGGGCGUAAAGAGCUCGUAGGCGGUUUGUCGCGUCUGCCGUGAAAGUCCGGGGCUUAACUCCGGAUCUGCGGUGGGCAACCUGUGGACUUCAGUAGAACCGGGGAGACUGGAAUUCCUGGAGUGGAAGUUGAAUGCUCUGAGGAGGGGAGGAACGCCGGAGGGGAAGGCGGUACACUGGUACUGAACUCACGCUGAGGAACCAAAGCGUGGGUACAGGACCAGAUUAGAUGCCCUGGUACUCCA